RNAcentral lists this ribosomal RNA (429 nucleotides) under Gemmatimonadota bacterium. RNAcentral's name for it is "Gemmatimonadetes bacterium partial 16S ribosomal RNA". It matches the Rfam family "Bacterial small subunit ribosomal RNA", at positions 355 to 776 of the family's 1533-position model. The record is from RNAcentral. Lineage: Bacteria; Pseudomonadati; Gemmatimonadota.
CAGGGAAUCUUCGGCAAUGGACGACAGUCUGACCGAGCAACGCCGCGUGAGUGAAGAAGGUUUUCGGAUCGUAAAACUCUGUUGUUAGAGAAGAACAAGGACGUUAGUAACUGAACGUCCCCUGACGGUAUCUAACCAGAAAGCCACGGCUAACUACGUGCCAGCAGCCGCGGUAAUACGUAGGUGGCAAGCGUUGUCCGGACUUAUUGGGCGUAAAGCGAGCGCAGGCGGUGUCUUAAGUCUGAUGUGAAAGCCCGCGGCUCAAGCGGGGAGGGUCAUUGGAAACUGGGAGACUUGAGGGCAGAAGAGGAGAGUGGAAUUCCAGGUGUAGCGGUGAGAGGAGUAGAUAGAUGGAGGAACACCAGUGGCGAAGGCGGGUCUCGGGUCGGUAACUGACGCUGAGGGUCGAAAGCGUGGGGAGCAAACAGG